UGAGGAAUAUUGGGUCAAUGGGCGCAAGCCUGAACCAGCCAAGUAGCGUGAAGGAUGACUGCCCUAUGGGUUGUAAACUUCUUUUAUGCGGGAAUAACCUCGACCAUGUAUUGGUCGUUUGCAUGUACCGCAAGAAAAAGCAUCGGCUAAUUCCGUGCCAGCAGCCGCGGUAAUACGGAAGAUGCGAGCGUUAUCCGGAUUUAUUGGGUUUAAAGGAGCGUAGGCGGACUAUCAAGUCAGUUGUGAAGUCAUCGGCUCAACCGCUGAAUUGCAGUUGAAACUGGUAGUCUUGAGUGCACAUGAGGAUGGUGGAAUUCGUAGUGUAGCGGUGAAAUGCUUAGAUAUUACGAAGAACUCCGAUUGCGAAGGCAGCUAUCUGGGGUGCAACUGACGCUGAGGCUCGAAGGUGUGGGUAU
RNAcentral lists this ribosomal RNA (416 nucleotides) under uncultured Bacteroides sp. Its description in RNAcentral is "bacterial SSU rRNA". It matches the Rfam family "Bacterial small subunit ribosomal RNA", at positions 355 to 768 of the family's 1533-position model. Lineage: Bacteria; Pseudomonadati; Bacteroidota; Bacteroidia; Bacteroidales; Bacteroidaceae. The record is from RNAcentral.